AGUGGAGUAGCGGUAACGCCAUCGCUCUGGGAAGCUGUGGGACCUGGGUUCGAGUCCCG
This 59-nucleotide transfer RNA is filed under the name Cryptomonas paramaecium. RNAcentral describes it as "Cryptomonas paramecium tRNA". Lineage: Eukaryota; Cryptophyceae; Cryptomonadales; Cryptomonadaceae. The record is from RNAcentral.